AAUUUGCUUAUUUGAUUUCACAAGGAGCAAAAUGCCUGCACACUUCUAGAAAACUCUCAUAGAUGAGGUGAUGAAAUGUUUUUCUAGAGAACGGCUUCUAGUUUGCUUCCCUUAAAAAUAACUUUAUCUCAAAUGUGUUCCCACAGAAUCAGAGGUUCUAACAUAGAUCUACCCAGCAAAUCAAGGGAAUGAUUGGCGAUAAUAAAAUAUGUUGUGUUUUUCCUUUUUACACGUUACAUGUUACUGAUUUAUUAAUUCCUGAAAUCAGGCGAUCCCUAGACCACCCAUCUGAACUUUCAAAGUGGAAUUACUAUGGAUCAAGUAGUGGUCAAGCUCCAAGGGAGGAUAGAGAAGUGAUCUCAUUGUUAGCAUUUGACAGCAACAUUGGGAAAACUAAAAGCUGCAAAUUGUUUUGUAUAAUAUCACAGUUUCUGAAGUCUUUAUGUGAAGAGUUCGAAAAAAAUGCACAUUCUUGGUUUGCGGUUCAACCAUUCUGCAGAGGUUCUUAGACAAGGCAAAAAUUGUGCAGAUUUUGGCAUUGAUGAUACAAUGCUAAAUGAGGAUCACAAAGAGCUCAUUGACUGCCAGUCCCAGGAUAGCGAAAACGCAUGGAAUUCUCUCUUGCUAAAAAAGAAGAGGAGUGGAAACACCAAGAGCUUUUAUGAGUUCAGGGUGUAUGCUUUGAAAUCCGAGAACUAUACUACUCCAAGUUCGAGAGUCUUCUCAACUUGGACGUCAUGCCCACCGAUAUGAUAAUUGCAUAAUGCAUUUGGUAUGUUUUCAUGCCUAAAACCUUUAAGCCCGGUGCACAAAACGAUGAACAAUGCUAGAACUAUUCUGUACUGAGAUUAUAAGUUUGCAUUUUUCUUCAAUCUCUAUCAGAAAAUGUAUGUCAUAUAUUUUAUGCACAUUCAACAA
Eucalyptus grandis is the source of this 918-nucleotide long non-coding RNA. RefSeq lists it as uncharacterized. NCBI's taxonomy places the organism in Eukaryota, Viridiplantae, Streptophyta, Magnoliopsida, Myrtales, Myrtaceae. The record is from RefSeq and is a predicted model, not a curated record. The transcript has 2 exons.